CCUACGGGGUGCUGCAGUGGGGAAUAUUGGACAAUGGGCGAAAGCCUGAUCCAGCCAUGCCGCGUGUGUGAAGAAGGCCUUCGGGUUGUAAAGCACUUUCAGUGGGGAAGAAAGCCUUGGGGCUAAUACCCUCGAGGAAGGACAUCACCCACAGAAGAAGCACCGGCUAACUCCGUGCCAGCAGCCGCGGUAAUACGGAGGGUGCGAGCGUUAAUCGGAAUUACUGGGCGUAAAGCGCGCGUAGGCGGUCUGAUAAGCCGGUUGUGAAAGCCCCGGGCUCAACCUGGGAACGGCAUCCGGAACUGUCAGGCUAGAGUGCAGGAGAGGAAGGUAGAAUUCCCGGUGUAGCGGUGAAAUGCGUAGAGAUCGGGAGGAAUACCAGUGGCGAAGGCGGCCUUCUGGACUGACACUGACGCUGAGGUGCGAAAGCGUGGGUAGCAAACAGGAUUAGAUACCCUAUAGUC
This 464-nucleotide ribosomal RNA is filed under the name Vreelandella stevensii. RNAcentral describes it as "partial 16S ribosomal RNA". It matches the Rfam family "Bacterial small subunit ribosomal RNA", at positions 338 to 795 of the family's 1533-position model. The record is from RNAcentral. Lineage: Bacteria; Pseudomonadati; Pseudomonadota; Gammaproteobacteria; Oceanospirillales; Halomonadaceae.